AGCGGCAAGCUACACAUGCAAGUCGAGCGCUCUCUUCGGAGGGAGCGGCGGACGGGUUAGUAACGCGUGGGAAUAUACCCUUUGGUACGGAAUAGCCUCUGGAAACGGAGAGUAAUACCGUAUGAGCCCUUCGGGGGAAAGAUUUAUCGCCAAAGGAUUAGCCCGCGUUAGAUUAGGUAGUUGGUGGGGUAAUGGCCUACCAAGCCUACGAUCUAUAGCUGGUUUUAGAGGAUGAUCAGCAACACUGGGACUGAGACACGGCCCAGACUCCUACGGGAGGCAGCAGUGGGGAAUCUUGGACAAUGGGGGCAACCCUGAUCCAGCCAUGCCGCGUGAGUGAUGAAGGCCUUAGGGUCGUAAAGCUCUUUCGCCUGUGAAGAUAAUGACGGUAGCAGGUAAAGAAACCCCGGCUAACUCCGUGCCAGCAGCCGCGGUAAUACGGAGGGGGUUAGCGUUGUUCGGAAUUACUGGGCGUAAAGCGCACGUAGGCGGACUGGAAAGUUGGGGGUGAAAUCCCAGGGCUCAACCCUGGAACUGCCUCCAAAACUAUCAGUCUAGAGUUCGAGAGAGGUGAGUGGAAUUCCGAGUGUAGAGGUGAAAUUCGUAGAUAUUCGGAGGAACACCAGUGGCGAAGGCGGCUCACUGGCUCGAUACUGACGCUGAGGUGCGAAAGGUGUGGGGGAGCAAACAGGAUUAGAUACCUGGUAGUCCACACCGUAAACGAUGAAUGCCAGUCGUCGGGGUAGCAUGCUAUUCGGUGACACACCUAACGGGAUUAAGCAUCGGCUUGGGGGAGUACCGUCGCAGAUAAACUCAAUGAUGACUGGGGCCCGCCCAAGCGGUGGAGCAUGGUGGUUUAUUCGAGCAACCGCGACAAAACGUUAC
RNAcentral lists this ribosomal RNA (885 nucleotides) under marine bacterium CS-39. Its description in RNAcentral is "bacterial SSU rRNA". It matches the Rfam family "Bacterial small subunit ribosomal RNA", at positions 38 to 974 of the family's 1533-position model. The record is from RNAcentral.